This 429-nucleotide ribosomal RNA is filed under the name Acidobacteriota bacterium. RNAcentral's name for it is "Acidobacteria bacterium partial 16S ribosomal RNA". It matches the Rfam family "Bacterial small subunit ribosomal RNA", at positions 355 to 776 of the family's 1533-position model. Lineage: Bacteria; Pseudomonadati; Acidobacteriota. The record is from RNAcentral.
UGGGGAAUUUUGGACAAUGGGGGAAACCCUGAUCCAGCCAUCCCGCGUGUGCGAUGAAGGCCUUCGGGUUGUAAAGCACUUUUGGCAGGAAAGAAACGUCAUGGGUUAAUACCCCGGGAAACUGACGGUACCUGCAGAAUAAGCACCGGCUAACUACGUGCCAGCAGCCGCGGUAAUACGUAGGGUGCAAGCGUUAAUCGGAAUUACUGGGCGUAAAGCGUGCGCAGGCGGUUCGGAAAGAAAGAUGUGAAAUCCCAGAGCUCAACUUUGGAACUGCAUUUUUAACUACCGGGCUAGAGUGUGUCAGAGGGAGGUGGAAUUCCGCGUGUGGCAGUGAAAUGCGUAGAUAUGCGGAGGAACACCGAUGGCGAAGGCAGCCUCCUGGGAUAACACUGACGCUCAUGCACGAAAGCGUGGGGAGCAAACAGG